ACCAGCAGCUAUCACUCUGCAGCUCUCACCUGGUUGCCCACUGAAGCUAAGCAGGGAUGAGCCUGGUCAGUACCUGGAUGGUAGACCUCUUGGGAAAAUGAGGUUGCAGCUGGAA
RNAcentral lists this ribosomal RNA (115 nucleotides) under Sinocyclocheilus grahami. Lineage: Eukaryota; Metazoa; Chordata; Actinopteri; Cypriniformes; Cyprinidae. The record is from RNAcentral.